UGCUCGUGAAAGGCAUAGCUUUUAGUCCAUAAGUCAUGCUGGUCACCGUUUCCAUUGUUCCGACAACUUCUGACCAGAUUAACACCUCUGAAUUAGCCAAUCUUACAAGAUUGAUAAGGCAGGCUGGUUGGGAAGGGGUGAUUAGCGGAGAAAAGAAUUACUGAGAGACAGAUGUUUAUUUAUCAACAUUUACCAAUUGCGGUAACCUUAUCUCGCGAGUGAUUCAAAAUUGACCCCGGAUGAUAAAGAGAUCCUGCUCAGAUCAAGGGAUCAAAAGCUGCUUUGAAACCGGAGUUUACAAACCGAUUUAAAGUGUAAGUUCUAAUAAAAGUAAUUGCAUUUUUUGUAUCACAAUAGGUACCCAUUGUGAAGGACCUUCACGUGGAUAUCGGACUGGAAGACCGGUAGAAUGCUAGUUAGAGUAGUGAUUUUUAACAACCAGAAAGCGUGCGUUGGGCAUAUCGAGUUGCCUCGAGUUUUAACAACUAGUUAGUUCUUCCACCCAAAUUGCUUGUAACAUUAACAUAAAUUUGUUUGUGCUUACAAAAGAAUCCAGUGAAUAAUUAUUGGAAUAAGAAUCAUAUAAAUAACAAGCUACACGAAACAGGUUUCAGAAUUCAAUUCCACACACCUGGGAGAAGGGAGAGAAUCAGAAUCGAGUUCGGAUUCUGAUUGGACAGGAAGAUUAUCGUCGGUAGGAGGAGACCCAGUUUUCUCUUCUUCUACAGCAACAGGAGAUGAAGAUGAAGAAGAACAUGGGUUGUGAAUCGGAGUUGGUGAAGAAAUUUGAGCACGGCCAAUUCUAAUAGAGAAAGUUGAGCACUUAUUAGUGUAUACAAGUUGUUUAGGUAUUAUGGGGAACUUUUGGGACGGUGGUGUUGGUACUGAGAGUGAGAUAACGGCGGCGUUGCAGCCGCGGCCGGUGGCAUUGCCUGCCAUUUUCCUGUGUCUCUCUGUCUCUCCACUGGAUGCUUGGAGAGAUAAGUGGGAUAAUACUAGCCAGAACUUCCUUUUCUCUUCGGUCAGGGAUCAUUUCGUCCGUAAACUCCCUAGUACAUGGUACUGAUUUUGCAAGUGUAAUAAAUGUCAUGGGUAGACUUUAAAUUUUUAAACGUUGAGGAC
RNAcentral lists this long non-coding RNA (1122 nucleotides) under Olea europaea (common olive). RNAcentral's name for it is "long non-coding RNA (OEUR_LNC005216)". The record is from RNAcentral. Lineage: Eukaryota; Viridiplantae; Streptophyta; Magnoliopsida; Lamiales; Oleaceae.